GAUGAACGCUGGCGGCGUGCUUAACACAUGCAAGUCGAACGGAAAGGCUCCUGCUUGCCGGGGUACUCGAGUGGCGAACGGGUGAGUAACACGUGGGUGAUCUGCCCUGCACUUCGGGAUAAGCCUGGGAAACUGGGUCUAAUACCGGAUAGGACCACAUUUUGGAUGGUGUGGUGGAAAGUUUUUCGGUGUGGGAUGAGCUCGCGGCCUAUCAGCUUGUUGGUGGGGUAAUGGCCUACCAAGGCGUCGACGGGUAGCCGGCCUGAGAGGGUGUACGGCCACAUUGGGACUGAGAUACGGCCCAGACGCCUACGGGAGGCAGCAGUGGGGAAUAUUGCACAAUGGGCGCAAGCCUGAUGCAGCGACGCCGCGUGGGGGAUGACGGCCUUCGGGUUGUAAACUCCUUUCGCUAGGGACGAAGCGCAAGUGACGGUACCUGGAGAAGAAGCACCGGCUAACUACGUG
This 465-nucleotide ribosomal RNA is filed under the name uncultured bacterium. RNAcentral's name for it is "partial 16S ribosomal RNA". It matches the Rfam family "Bacterial small subunit ribosomal RNA", at positions 28 to 507 of the family's 1533-position model. The record is from RNAcentral.